AUUGAACGCUGGCGGCAUGCUUUACACAUGCAAGUCGAACGGUAACAGGCCGCAAGGUGCUGACGAGUGGCGAACGGGUGAGUAAUGCAUCGGAACGUGCCCAGUCGUUGGGGAUAACGCAGCGAAAGCUGUGCUAAUACCGCAUACGAUCUAUGGAUGAAAGCGGGGGACCGUAAGGCCUAGCGCGAUCGGAGCGGCCGAUGUCAGAGUCGGUAGUUGGUGGGGUAAAGGCCUACCAAGACGACGAUCUGUAGCUGGUCUGAGAGGACGACCAGCCACACUGGGACUGAGACACGGCCGAUACUCCGACGGGAGGCAGCAGUGGCGAAUUUUGGACAAUGGCCGCAAGCCUGAUCCAGCAAUGCCGCGUGCAGGAAGAAGGCCUUCGGGUUGUAAACUGCUCUUGUACGGAACGAAACGGUCUGGGUUAAUACCCUGGGCUAAUGACGGUACCGUAAGAAUAAGCACCGGCUAACUACGUGCCAGCCGCCGCAGUAA
Molecule: ribosomal RNA, 498 nt
Filed under: uncultured bacterium
Lineage: Bacteria
Description: partial 16S ribosomal RNA
Rfam family: Bacterial small subunit ribosomal RNA
Source: RNAcentral